Diceros bicornis minor is the source of this 4197-nucleotide long non-coding RNA. RefSeq lists it as uncharacterized. NCBI's taxonomy places the organism in Eukaryota, Metazoa, Chordata, Mammalia, Perissodactyla, Rhinocerotidae. The record is from RefSeq and is a predicted model, not a curated record. The transcript is spliced from 3 exons.
AGAUCUGGGACAAUCAUCUGGUUCCAUAUCACAAAGCGCCUCGAUUCCUCCCUCCCAUCUUGGAAUGUCACAAUCUCUCCGGAAACUUCUUAGAGGUGCCUGGAUAGGUAACAUGCCUGAAAACGUAACAUCUGAUGAUGAAUGAGUUCCUGAAUUUGUUUCAUUUAAAGAAUGUUUAACAGUACCUGUUUCUCAUAUUUAUAUGUAGCUAUGCCAAUUCUUAAAAGUUUAAGAUUUUAUUUUACUUUAUUUUUCUUUAGAAGAUAUUGAUUGUGUGGAUUCUAUAGACUUUUUUUUCGAGUUCCCCAAUGUGUUUCACUAGAAAAGGUGGACUUUGCCCUCCUUGAGUAAUUAAUGAACUAGCCAUUGUAGGAUCCAGGUUCUAGAACUGCCUUUUCUUCUGUCCAUCCACUAGACAGUGCAAAUUCGUGGAUGUAAUAAGUCCACAGUCUGUAUUUUCCUCAUCUUCCCCAUGGCUUUUUUUAUCUGGCUUAUGGUCUGUAGAUAUUCACCACAUCCCGAAUAACACAAUUAUCUGGAAGUGAAAUCUGUUUGUGUUUUUAAUCCACACAGGCAGUUUCCCAUUAUAAGAAAGCUUUCACAGUUGAGUACUACCAAUCUCUUGUGUUCUUGAAAAUGAUUGGUGAUUAAAAUCACCCUGUUUGCAAGCCGCUGCCCACUGCUGCUCUCCACAGAGGAUAAUAAACUACUAUACACAGAAAUAUUAAGAUACCACUUAGACUAUUAGAAUUUAAACCACUUCAUGGGGCUGAGGCACAGGGGCCCUUUCAGCCCCAGUGCUAGUUAUCUCAAAAUUGGUAAUGGGCCUAGCUUAACUCGGUGUUCCCCUGGGGCCCAGGCUGCCUCCUGCAGUGUGGUGUGAAACUCAACUGUAAUUUGUUGUGACUGAUCCCAAAUGCAAGUGUUAACAGUGGCUACUUGCCAUGAGUAGGCAAGUGAGAGUAAGUGUUGUUUAUCCAGACAAGAAGUGAUACCAAAAUGAGACUUGGAGGUGUGAUUCUAAUUUGCACCUCCAUUUCAUUUGCCCGGAGGAACUACGUUCUUUGUCAUUAUUUCUGAAUAUAUCUAGUGACAGGGGAAGGCCUAACCAAAUGCACUGCUAACAGAUGUGGCAGUCACACUUCUGUGCAGCCCCUCGUUUUGUUCAUUCAUGUUUUCUUCAAAAUCGCCAUGUGCUUUGGAGAAAAGGCCCAUACCAGCAUUGCCCAAACUAUCAGCCAAGUAGGAAAGAGGAGUAAUGAUGCCAGUGAGCAUUUUGAAACAUAGUUGUUGUCCUGUAUCUGUUUUAUAGUGUAAUACUGUAUUUUACAUUGCACUAUGUGAAAUAUCCUUAUGAUGGAAAGGUGGGAAAAAGCGAAGAAUGUAUGUGUAAUAGGAAAGAUAGUAAAAUAUUUCUGACACUUUUAAGUGGCCUAUUCCAGAGACUCCAAAAGUUUAUUUCAUGAAACACUAGCCCUACAGAACAUUGCACUUUAUGAAAAAUAAUUCAGUGGUAAAAUGUUUAAGAAGAUUCAGAAUACGUGUCAGAAUAAAAUACUGCAGAAAAGCAGUCCAUCUCACUUUUACUUAACUCUGUACUUCCUGUACUUGUUUGCUCAGAGAAAACUUUUCCAUCUGCCGCUUAAUGAAUUAACACUUUCGGAAAUGCCGCCCUGUCCUGAUUGUUAGGAUGGACAUUUGUUGUUACAUUUGUCAGCUUUUGUGGCCCUGCGUUCUUGGCUAGACCAGUGGUGUACUCGGGUGCAACAGUUUUCAGGAAGAAUAUUCGUGACAUCGGCAUCGUUUUUUACUGUUGUGAUAGACUUGAAACAGCUCUAUGCUAAGGAAAACCAAGGGUAAGUUCAGGGAAUAAAGUAUAAUUGGAGUCAAGCUGAGACCAUUGUAUUUCUCAUGCAUGGACUUGAGGAGAGAGGGGCAAGUCUUGCUAGAAACCUCAUCUUAGCAGCUGUGGGUGUCUCUGCUAGUCAAAUGCUGAGGAAUGCUUUUACUCUGUAGUCUUGCUUAUUAGAAAGCCAUGUUGGAGGUUUUCAGGCAAAUGGAGACAUUUCUUCAUUUCUAGCACUUACCGCGUAUUGUGGAAAUAAAGCUUUAGGAGUGGCAGGAUCGAUGAAUGCCCUCUUUCUCUUUGUGGAUUUUAGCAAUAUCUCACAAAUAUAUACUUUGAGUCAAAAAAGACGUAUUGUGUAACAAGAACUGAAUACAAACUGCACUGAGUUGCCUUGUAAAAAUGCAAGGCUGGAAAAUGUAUUUCCAGCGACUCAAAAGCAGCUGUGGCUUCGCUGGCUAGCAUUUAAUCACUUUAGAGUGUGACCCACAGAAUUGGUUUUCUUACUGUCCUCUGACAGACAUAUCACCCCAACAUUAUAUCAGAGAGUUGAAAGAUAAACAGCCUGCGCAGUGAUGUGUGGGGCUAGGCAAGAAGAGUGCCUGUUUCGUGCUGGUUGCUGUUUUGAAGUUUGCACCUCAGAGUGUCGCUUUGUGAAGAGAAUUAUAUUCAAAGGGGAAGUGCCCAGAUGUAAUCGCUGUUAAGUCAAGGAUCUUUGUCAAGAGAUCUUGGGGGCGGCAUCACCACUGAUACUCCCGUUGGCCUGUGUGAGCAGAAAGUUAGGCAGGUAUAAAAAUAAGUGCCUUGUUUUUCCAAAACUUAGCCCUUUGCAGCAUGAAGUUCACACUGAAAAAGUGAAAGAAUUAAGCGUCUCUCAGUGGAGCAGGUCCGAGGGGUCCUCUUACUUGGCAUGAAAAUUGGUGUGCGGGAAAUGAACACAUUUCACACUCCAGUCACAUGUUCUGCAUUCGAGAACCAGGUGAGCAGAACGCUAUCCCAGGCACAUACUGGCCCCGAGAUCUUUGAGGGUCUGUGGUUUUCCGUGUGUAGAGCAGGUCUAGCGAAGGAAGAUUUCCCAGGGCCCAGUUCCCAGACUUGCUGGCAGGUUUCUGAUAACCAUGCUUGGCCUCGCUGGGGACUUUCAGGUGUAGAGAGACAAACUCAUGUAACUAGGGAUGACAGGUUAUUUUAUCUUCAAUAAAGUUGCAGCAUGCCCUGAGAUUGGACUGUUCUACCUAAAUUAAAGAUGUUCUUUCUGUUACAGUUUGUGAAGCAGGAGAGAGGCUCGGAAGAUGUUGGACCACAACAGUUAGAAGCUCAUCAACUUCACUACUAACCGACCACAAACAAAUCAGUGAACACCUGGCCUACUUUCUCUCUGCCUUCUGUGCUGUGUGGAAGUAUGAGCUCUCUUAUGGGCCAAUGUGAGGAAUGGAAAGUAAGCUUUAACUGGGUGGAAGCUGCCAACGGUAGCUGUAGGUCACAGGGCAAAAACAGUUUUUACUAGUAAAAGGUGACAGUAAGCCGAUGAGCUCUCAAAUCCUACUUCUCUGAGCAUAGAUUCCUCUUGUUAAAGCUUGUACCCAUUAAUUUUCUCCCCCACCAUUGAUCUACCCCUGCUUUCUGAUUCAGGAGAAGCCACUGAGUGAAGGAGGAAAUCGAAUAGUUAAGUUGAUUCGUUCAGCUUAAACCUUUAAGUAUCUACCAUGUACUGGGAACUAAAGGUACCCAACACCUUAAGCUAUGUACAGCCUGGUAGUGGGGAGACAGUCCCUGCUGUGAAUUAGAAAAGAUGUGCAACCCCUGUGCCAGUUUAUUCUGCAGUCUCUGAAAAACCAUGUUGGGGCUCAUAGGUCCAUCUCAUCUAACGCUUAGGCAACUCUUGGCAGGGCCAUCAUCAGAGGGUUUAAGUUCUCCAGGGAUUGUCUUCUGGCUUGGUUCAGCCACUGUGGCCCCUGAGAGGGGACGUUCUGUGUUAGGCCUGGAGCGCCUGCCUCCACACAGGGCUGGGGGUCGUUCCCUUGGUCACCUCUUGGCGUGGCUGAGUUGUUCUACAAAGAGAAGCCCAUCCACAGGGAUGCUCCAGUGCCCAUUGACAAGAUAGCAGCAAAAGCCACCCAGCCUGCUUUGUGGAUGCUAACGGCAGUGUUCCUGUGUCCUUGGGGGCGCUACGCCUGUGUGUUGAAUAUCCUCCAAUAGGUAUACAUUUGAAACAUUUAAAAUUUUUUCAUUUUGGGAAAAAUAUCUGAGCAUUUAUGGUUGGGACACAAUUUCCUAAAACUGAAAUUGUUUGAGAUUCACUUUAUUAGAGAGUAUAUUUAUGUAAAUGUGAAUGCAACGUCAUGAUUUAA